Molecule: transfer RNA, 77 nt
Filed under: Propionibacteriaceae bacterium
Lineage: Bacteria; Bacillati; Actinomycetota; Actinomycetes; Propionibacteriales; Propionibacteriaceae
Description: tRNA-Pro
Rfam family: tRNA
About the family: Transfer RNA (tRNA) molecules are approximately 80 nucleotides in length.
Source: RNAcentral
CGGGGCGUAGCGCAGUUGGCUAGCGCGCGUGCUUUGGGAGCACGAGAUCGCAGGUUCGAGUCCUGUCGCCCCGACCA